Molecule: unclassified non-coding RNA, 331 nt
Filed under: soil metagenome
Description: partial contains 5.8S ribosomal RNA, internal transcribed spacer 2, and large subunit ribosomal RNA
Rfam family: 5.8S ribosomal RNA (bases 1-120)
Source: RNAcentral
GAUGAAGAACGCAGCGAAAUGCGAUAAGUAAUGUGAAUUGCAGAAUUCAGUGAAUCAUCGAAUCUUUGAACGCACAUUGCGCCCGGUAGUAUUCUACCGGGCAUGCCUGUUCGAGCGUCAUUUCAACCCUCAAGCCCUGCUUGGUGUUGGGGUCCUACAGUGUAGGCCCUGAAAACUAGUGGCGGGCUCGCUAUAACUCCGAGCGUAGCAGCAUACAUCUCGCUCUGGGCGUGCUGCGGGUUCCGGCCGUUAAACCACCUUCAUAACCCAAGGUUGACCUCGGAUCAGGUAGGAAGACCCGCUGAACUUAAGCAUAUCAAUAAGCGGAGGA